CAAGGUGUUCCUGCAUGAGUGAAGUAAAUGUUAGUUUCAUGGAGAAAAUCGCAGAAAACUCACAAAGACUUGCGAAACUUGGCGAGGAUUUUGAGCUCUCUGGAACAAAGAAACCGAUCCUUCACAGGCAGAAAUCCAUGAAAGUUCCAACGGACGAAUGGAAAUCGAAUGAGAAGAAAUAGUUCUCAACCGAAAGGCUGGAAGUUCUUAUGAAACACAAGAAAGUUCUUACAAACAAAAGAUUCCUGGCCACUGCUAGGCGGCAGCUUGGGCUUCCUGCAAAAAAUUCAAAAGCGAGAGGUUACGCAGGAAAUUCUAAUUCUUCUCAUUUGGCUGCUCGAUCCAAUCCAAGAGAGAUUUCAUUCUGGGAGAGGAAGUGCUGCUUGCUUAACUUACCUUGCCCAUGGUGUUGACAUGAGCCAUAUGAGGAAGAUAGCCCAUGAGAAAGAGAGCGCCGCCAAUGAUGCCCA
This 470-nucleotide long non-coding RNA is filed under the name Selaginella moellendorffii. RNAcentral's name for it is "long non-coding RNA (SMOE_LNC002085)". Lineage: Eukaryota; Viridiplantae; Streptophyta; Lycopodiopsida; Selaginellales; Selaginellaceae. The record is from RNAcentral.